CCCCAACUAUCCUUAUAACUUCGGUGAUCUAGAAACCACCAAAAUAGAACCAUGCCGUCCUAUUUUAUUAUUCCAUGUUAAUUUAUUCAAGCAAUAGCCUGCUUUAAGCACUCUAAUUUUUUCAAGGUAAUAGCUCUGCUUCCCCGGCCCACCAACUAAAUGGCAUGCCGGUUAUUCAGAAGGUAGGAACCCAUCACACCAGUGCGGACCGGGGAGCCCCACCCAAGGACAAAACCCCAAAUUCCACUACC
This 251-nucleotide ribosomal RNA is filed under the name uncultured Acaulospora. RNAcentral's name for it is "partial 18S ribosomal RNA". The record is from RNAcentral. Lineage: Eukaryota; Fungi; Glomeromycota; Glomeromycetes; Diversisporales; Acaulosporaceae.